CCUACGGGUGGCAGCAGUGGGGAAUAUUGCACAAUGGGGGAAACCCUGAUGCAGCGACGCCGCGUGAGUGAAGAAGUAUUUCGGUAUGUAAAGCUCUAUCAGCAGGGAAGAAAAAAGACGGUACCUGACUAAGAAGCCCCGGCUAACUACGUGCCAGCAGCCGCGGUAAUACGUAUGGGGCAAGCGUUAUCCGGAUUUACUGGGUGUAAAGGGAGCGUAGGCGGCAGGGCAAGCCUGAUGUGAAAGCCCGGGGCUCAACCCCGGGACUGCAGGGGAAACUGCCCGGCUGGAGUGCCGGAGGGGCAGGCGGAAUGCGUGGUGUAGCGGUGAAAUGCGUAGAUAUCAGGAGGAA
This 352-nucleotide ribosomal RNA is filed under the name uncultured bacterium. RNAcentral's name for it is "partial 16S ribosomal RNA". It matches the Rfam family "Bacterial small subunit ribosomal RNA", at positions 338 to 706 of the family's 1533-position model. The record is from RNAcentral.